UUAACAGAUGCCGAAGAAGCAUUUGACAAAAUGUAAUAGCUCUUCCCAAUUUAAACUCUAAGUAAACUAGGAAAAGAAGGGAACUUCCUUAAAGGCAUCUGUGAAAACCCCACAGCUAGAAUUAUACUUAAUGAUGGAAGUCUGAAAUUCUUUCUUCUAAGUUCAAGAACAAGCAGGGAAGGCAGAGCAAGAUGGCUGAAUAGAACCCUCCAGCAUUUGUCCCCCAAGCAAGAACACCAACUUGAACAACUAUCCACACAAGAAAGCACUUUCAGAAGAACUAAAACUCAGGACUUCAUUGACUUAACUAGAGAGACCAGACCAAGGACAAAAGAUCGCAGUGGACUGUAUGUGAUUGACCUGACAAGAGCUGAGGGAGAAAAUAGACCUAUUGCCACUCUUGACUUAACUUUAGAACCUGUCACUCCUUCCCAGAAGGAACCAACCAGUCUUCAGACAUGUGCCAGCCUCUCUGGCAAAGCGGUGAUGGAAGGGCAGGUGGACAGAAGCUCUCAGCCUACAGCACGGAGACUCAUUAACAGUGACCCUGUAGAUUUGGACCUAGUGGAAGAAAACACCUUUGUAGGUCCCCCACCCGCUACAUCCAUCAGCGGAGGCUCUGUUUAUCCAACAGAGCCUAAUUGUAGCUCAGCCACAUUCACAGGGAACCUCAGCUUCUUGGCAAGUCUACAGCUGUCUUCAGAUGUUAGCUCCCUCUCCCCAACAAGCAAUAAUAGUAGCAGCAGUAGCAGCAGCAGCAGCAGCAGCAGCAAUCAAAAAGCACCCUUGCCAUGCCCACAGCAAGAUGUGUCUCGCCCACCACAGGCCUUGCCAUGCCCCCUGCAAGCUUUGCCGUGCC
Molecule: small RNA, 859 nt
Filed under: Pan troglodytes (chimpanzee)
Lineage: Eukaryota; Metazoa; Chordata; Mammalia; Primates; Hominidae
Description: processed transcript
Source: RNAcentral